GACGAACGCUGGCGGCGUGCCUAAUACAUGCAAGUUGAGCGCUGAAGGUUGGUACUUGUACCAACUGGAUGAGCAGCGAACGGGUGAGUAACGCGUGGGGAAUCUGCCUUUGAGCGGGGGACAACAUUUGGAAACGAAUGCUAAUACCGCAUAAAAACUUUAAACACAAGUUUUAAGUUUGAAAGAUGCAAUUGCAUCACUCAAAGAUGAUCCCGCGUUGUAUUAGCUAGUUGGUGAGGUAAAGGCUCACCAAGGCGAUGAUACAUAGCCGACUUGAGAGGGUGAUCGGCCACAUCGGGACGGAGACACGGCCCAAACUCCUACGGGAGGCAGCAGUAGGGAAUCUUCGGCAAUGGACGAAAGUCUGACCGAGCAACGCCGCGUGAGUGAAGAAGGUUUUCGGAUCGUAAAACUCUGUUGGUAGAGAAGAACGUUGGUGAGAGUGGAAAGCUCAUCAAGUGACGGUAACUACCCAGAAAGGGACGGCUAACUACGUG
This 497-nucleotide ribosomal RNA is filed under the name uncultured bacterium. Its description in RNAcentral is "partial 16S ribosomal RNA". It matches the Rfam family "Bacterial small subunit ribosomal RNA", at positions 28 to 507 of the family's 1533-position model. The record is from RNAcentral.